Molecule: long non-coding RNA, 716 nt
Organism: Oncorhynchus kisutch (coho salmon)
Lineage: Eukaryota; Metazoa; Chordata; Actinopteri; Salmoniformes; Salmonidae
Exons: 2
Source: RefSeq, a predicted model, not a curated record
ACCUGGUGGUCAGUCUUUAGGCUGCUGUACAGCUUGAUGGACCGUAGAGGAUUGAACAUUUAUCCUCCUAUAUUUGGGGUUCUGAGAAUAAAACAGCUUCAGAACAAUCAAUAUAGAAAUAUGUUUUUUGCAGUUCUACAAAUGUUCAAUAAUUGAUUGUUGAUAAUGAUGACGACUAUUGUAUACAUUACGAAUUUAUUUUGUAUCAUACUUUAUGUCAGAUUAAAUAGACAGACAUGCAACACAUUGCAUACAUACAUAGUGCAAUACACUUACAGACAGACAGUAUUCACAUAGACAACCAUAUAGCACAAUACAACACAAAAUGAGCCUGGUUCAUUUUCAGUAAUGAGGCCCUGUACCCAAUUUACAGUUUAUACUUCAAUGUCUCAGGUGGAGUUAUUCACCAGCUAUAGUGUUUGUUUCUAAGACUGCAGGGUGGGAGAUGCAACAAUGGCCUUGAGAACAGCAGGAAGUGUGUUGGUGGUCUUUCUCUGGUCUGUAGCAGACACUCCACAUCCCAACUCAGUUUCCCUCAGCCCAUCCCACCCAUCUCUGCUGGCCACAAUCUUUGGAUUUCUACACACCAUGUAUCUUUCAACUAUGCUGUGAUGUUUAACAUACAAUUUGAAUAGAUGUAAUCAAAUAGAAUCCACCGAUUGCGAGUUGAUUCGUAAGAGUAUUAGUAUGUUAGUAAUUGACUGACCAGGUCUCUC